GAUGAACGCUGGCGGCGUGCCUAAUACAUGCAAGUCGAGCGAACAGACGAGGAGCUUGCUCCUCUGACGUUAGCGGCGGACGGGUGAGUAACACGUGGAUAACCUACCUAUAAGACUGGGAUAACUUCGGGAAACCGGAGCUAAUACCGGAUAAUAUAUUGAACCGCAUGGUUCAAUAGUGAAAGACGGUUUUGCUGUCACUUAUAGAUGGAUCCGCGCCGCAUUAGCUAGUUGGUAAGGUAACGGCUUACCAAGGCAACGAUGCGUAGCCGACCUGAGAGGGUGGUCGGCCACACUGGAACUGGGACACGGUCCAGACUCCUACGGGAGGCAGCAGUAGGGAAUCUUCCGCAAUAGGCGAAAGCUUGACGGAGCAACGCCGCGUGAGUGAUGAAGGUCUUCGGAUCGUAAAACUCUGUUAUUAGGGAAGAACAAAUGUGUAAGUAACUAUGCACGUCUUGACGGUACCUAAUCAGAAAGCCACGGCUAACUACGUG
RNAcentral lists this ribosomal RNA (497 nucleotides) under uncultured bacterium. Its description in RNAcentral is "partial 16S ribosomal RNA". It matches the Rfam family "Bacterial small subunit ribosomal RNA", at positions 28 to 507 of the family's 1533-position model. The record is from RNAcentral.